CCUACAGGAGGCAGCAGUGAGGAAUAUUGGUCAAUGGGCGAGAGCCUGAACCAGCCAAGUCGCGUGAAGGAUGAAGGAUCUAUGGUUUGUAAACUUCUUUUAUAUGGGAAUAAAGUUAGGAACGUGUUCCUUUUUGUAUGUACCAUAUGAAUAAGCAUCGGCUAACUCCGUGCCAGCAGCCGCGGUAAUACGGAGGAUGCGAGCGUUAUCCGGAUUUAUUGGGUUUAAAGGGUGCGUAGGUGGUUAAUUAAGUCAGCGGUGAAAGUUUGUGGCUCAACCAUAAAAUUGCCGUUGAGACUGGUUGACUAGAGUAUAUUUGAGGUAGGCGGAAUGCGUGGUGUAGCGGUGAAAUGCAUAGAUAUCACGCAGAACUCCGAUUGCGAAGGCAGCUUACUAAACUAUAACUGACACUGAAGCACGAAAGCGUGGGGAUCAAACAGGAUUAGAUACCCGGGUAGUC
Molecule: ribosomal RNA, 460 nt
Filed under: uncultured bacterium
Lineage: Bacteria
Description: partial 16S ribosomal RNA
Rfam family: Bacterial small subunit ribosomal RNA
Source: RNAcentral